Y RNA from Papio anubis (olive baboon), 102 nucleotides. It matches the Rfam family "Y RNA". From Rfam's summary of the family: Y RNAs are components of the Ro ribonucleoprotein particle (Ro RNP), in association with Ro60 and La proteins. The Y RNAs and Ro60 and La proteins are well conserved, but the function of the Ro RNP is not known. The record is from Ensembl. NCBI's taxonomy places the organism in Eukaryota, Metazoa, Chordata, Mammalia, Primates, Cercopithecidae.
GGCUGGUGUGAGUGCAGCGGUGUUUACAACUAAUUGAUCACAAGCAGUUAUAGAUUUCUUUGUUCCUUCUCCACUCUCACUGCUUUACUUGGCUAGCCUAAA